GCGAGCGUGGUGGAACUGGCAGACACGCUAGAUUUAGGAUCUAGUGCCGAAAGGCGUGGGGGUUCGAUUCCCUUCGCUCGCA
This is a non-coding RNA of Spirochaetes bacterium RBG_13_51_14, 82 nucleotides long. NCBI's taxonomy places the organism in Bacteria, Pseudomonadati, Spirochaetota. The record is from Rfam.